CGGAUAUCUGGGAGGGCCCUUUUAUGGUUAAAUGUGGGAAGAGAGGAGCUCUUUGUGUUUUGAAGAUAAAGGCGUUGAGUGCAUUCCAUCAAAACGCACACAGCCUGCUCUGGAAUAACUGGAAAAUGGACAAACGGGAGGAACCGGGGUACCCCGACAACAACAUACAGGCCUGCACCAAAAGGAAGAAGAGCCUCUGGUGAUGUAUGCUAACAAUUCACCUUUUUGUAUGGUUUAUUAAAACAAAAGCA
Molecule: long non-coding RNA, 251 nt
Filed under: Equus caballus (horse)
Lineage: Eukaryota; Metazoa; Chordata; Mammalia; Perissodactyla; Equidae
Description: lncRNA (ENSECAG00000014824.4)
Source: RNAcentral